UUCCCAGCCAGGCUCCUGGCUAAAAUACAGCUUUUAGCUGUAUUUAGUCAAAGCCUGGCUGUAAA
This is a non-coding RNA of Mesocricetus auratus (golden hamster), 65 nucleotides long. Lineage: Eukaryota; Metazoa; Chordata; Mammalia; Rodentia; Cricetidae. The record is from Rfam.